Molecule: ribosomal RNA, 357 nt
Filed under: Galeommatoidea sp. MN19436
Lineage: Eukaryota; Metazoa; Mollusca; Bivalvia; Galeommatida
Description: partial 16S ribosomal RNA
Rfam family: Archaeal large subunit ribosomal RNA
Source: RNAcentral
CCCGGUGAAUUUAUUUUUUAAACGGCCGCAGUUUGGAGCUGUGCUAAGGUAGCGUAAUAAUUUGUCCUUUAAUUGAGGAAAGGAAUUAAAGGUUUGACGUAAUGACUUCUGUCUCCAGAUUAAAAAAAGAAUUUUUCUUUUCGGUGAAAAGCCCGAAGUAUUUUAAAAAGACGAGAAGACCCUAUCGAGUUUGAAUAACCUUUGUUUAAAAAUUUUGGUAAAGUUUAAUUGGGGCAAUUUAGGAGCAAAUUAAGACUCCUUAAACUAUUAUAAGAUCCAAAACCAUUUUGAUAAAUAGAAAAAGCUACCGUAGGGAUAACAGCGUAAUCUUUUUUGAGAGAACAAAUUGAAGAAAAG